This 775-nucleotide ribosomal RNA is filed under the name uncultured Neocallimastigales. RNAcentral describes it as "partial large subunit ribosomal RNA". It matches the Rfam family "Eukaryotic large subunit ribosomal RNA", at positions 26 to 625 of the family's 3401-position model. Lineage: Eukaryota; Fungi; Neocallimastigomycota; Neocallimastigomycetes; Neocallimastigales. The record is from RNAcentral.
CGCAUCUGUGCAUGCAGCAUAUCAAUAAGCGGAGGAAAAGAAACUAACAAGGAUUCCCUCAGUAACGGCGAGUGAAGCGGGAAGAGCUCAAAUUUGAAAUCUUGAAAGGUCACCUUUCACGAAUUGUAGUUUAAAGAAGUGUUUUCUGUUACGAUCGUAAUAUAAGUUCUUUGGAAUAGGACAUCACAGAGGGUGAGAAUCCCGUCUAUGAUUGCGAUUUGUAGCUUUGCUGAUACACUUUCAAAGAGUCGGGUUGUUUGGGAAUGCAGCCCAAAACGGGAGGUAAAUUUCUUCUAAGGCUAAAUAUUGGCGAGAGACCGAUAGCGAACAAGUACCGUGAGGGAAAGAUGAAAAGAACUUUGAAAAGAGAGUUAAACAGUACGUGAAAUUGUCAAAAGGGAAGCGUUUGACACCAGUGUUGUUUUCUCGAAAAUCAAUUAAAAAUGGCUCGAUUUUGUAUUGCUGAGACCUUAAAAGCUCACUGUACAUUUUUCGUGUCUUUUUUAAUGCACUUUUCGUUUAACAAGUCAACAUCAGUUUCUUUUGUUGUAAAAGGGUCAUUGGAAGGUGGCUUUCUUUUCGGAGAAAGUGUUUAUAGCCUUUGGCCUCUGCAAUCGAAGAGACUGAGGUCUGCAGCGUAGACUCUUCGGGGUUAGAUACAUUUGUGCUAAGUUAUAGCUUUUUAUAGACAACUUGUUGACUAUAAUUAGUCUUGUAGCUUACUCGCUUAUGCUAUUUUACCUACGCUUAGGAUGUUGACGAUCAGCUGAGCGCG